CCCAGCUUGGCUGCACUCAGAGGGUAUGAGCAGGCCAAACUGUCUUGCUUCUCACCCUUUCAAUAAAGAUUCUCUUUUGAACACUCCAGGGCAGAUUUCAUGGUUUAGCCAAUUGCUCUGAAAGCUCUUCGAGGCACAUAGAGCACCCUGAAACUCUGAUUCAUUGGAACAUUCAGAACUCUGAGCUUUUAGGCAAGGUGAAGCUGCUCCCUCCCCCAGCAUGAGACCCGGGUUUGGAAGCCCAGAUUAAGAAGGGUUUGACUUUUUCUUUCAUCUUCUAGAUCCUUCCAUCACCACCUCCAAAGCCCAGGCUGAUGUCAAACUUGCAAUGAUCCUCCUGCCUCCGCCUCCCAGUGCUGGGAUUACAGAUGCCAUUGGCUUGCAGUUAAUCCAGAAGCCCUGACUUUCUUCGGUUGCUGCCUGGACAGUAGGAGGGGGCUGUUCGCUCUGUAGUGCUGGAGCUGAAACCCAGGCCCUCAUGCCCGCUAGGCAAACACGAACCUCUGAACAGCACUCCCAGCCCUGACUCACUUCUUGGCCUGUUUACAUCUCUGUUCUGCUACCUUUUGCUGGAAAAACAUCAGUGGCCAUUUGCAACUGACCACAAAUUCUCCCCACUGCUGUGCGCAGGCCUCCCACCAUAACUGUCUUGCCCUCACACAGAGAGACCAUAGUUGGCAGCGCCAAGGCAGAAAUAGCACGGCAGAAGGGCCCGGGCAGAAGGAACCUGCUCAUCCAAUGACAGCCAGGAAGUGAGAGAGAAGGGAGGAGCCAGGAACAAGAACACACUCUCCCAGGUGACAUCCUAGUGACCUGCCUCCAAGCAGGCCUCUCCUCUGACAGCACACUCUGCUCCUCAGCCCAUCUCUGCAUGAAUCCACAGCAAAACAGCUCAGGCCAAUGUCAACUGAGGAGUCAGCCCUCCAGAGACACACAAGGAAGGGCCCAGCUCUAAAGGCAUCAGGACAGGGUGAGAAGCACUUCUCUGGGGAGGCAAGCGAUGUGGCCCAAGAAAGAGAGUGUUGUGCUUUGUGUCUAGACAUACCCCCAAAGCUUCAUGCAGUCAGAGGUGGGGCUUUUUCAGAGGGGGCUGGAUCUAGAGUACAUGGUGCUGGGAUUGAUUCAAGGUGCAAUGCUAGGGUGAAGGACAUUAGGAUUAAGGGUGUGAGUGCUACCUGCCUGAAGCAGCCUGGAGAAGAUACAAGGGAUAGAAAGAGCUGUGGUCUGCCAGGCCUGGUGGCACGUGCUUAUAAUCCCAACACUCAGGAGGCUGAGGCAGGAGGAUCACCAUGAGUUCGAGGCCAACCUGGGCUACAUAAGUGAGUUCAAGACCAGUCUACAUGACAUAGUAACAGUGUAGCAAAAAAAAAGAUAAAAGAAAGAGAGAGAAAGAUUUGCAGUCAUCCCUUGUUGCUUUGUUAUCUUCUGCCCACCACAAACUAUUUCUCCACUGCAGUGUCUCUCUACCGUGAGCCACCCUGCCUUGCAUCCGGUUGAUUAUGAACUGAAACCUCUACAAAAAUGUGGGCUAAAUAAAUCUUUUCCCUUUAA
Cavia porcellus (domestic guinea pig) is the source of this 1551-nucleotide long non-coding RNA. RefSeq lists it as uncharacterized. The transcript has 6 exons. The record is from RefSeq and is a predicted model, not a curated record. NCBI's taxonomy places the organism in Eukaryota, Metazoa, Chordata, Mammalia, Rodentia, Caviidae.